RNAcentral lists this ribosomal RNA (323 nucleotides) under uncultured eukaryote. RNAcentral's name for it is "partial 18S ribosomal RNA". It matches the Rfam family "Eukaryotic small subunit ribosomal RNA", at positions 1470 to 1796 of the family's 1831-position model. The record is from RNAcentral.
CCCCUAGAUGUUCUGGGCCGCACGCGCGCUACACUGAACAGUUCAACAAGUCUUAACCUUGGCCGAUAGGUCUGGGUAAUCUUUGAACGCUGUUCGUGAUUGGGAUAGACCUUUGCAAUUAUGGGUCUUCAACGAGGAAUUCCUAGUAAACGCAAGUCAUCAGCUUGCAUUGAUUACGUCCCUGCCCUUUGUACACACCGCCCGUCGCACCUACCGAUUGAAUGGUCCGGUGAAAUCUCCGGACUGGCGUGAGUCGGAGCAAUCUGACAAACGCCGGAAAGUUGAUUAAACCUUACCAUUUAGAGGAAGGUGAAGUCGUANCA